This 301-nucleotide ribosomal RNA is filed under the name uncultured bacterium. RNAcentral's name for it is "partial 16S ribosomal RNA". It matches the Rfam family "Bacterial small subunit ribosomal RNA", at positions 509 to 807 of the family's 1533-position model. The record is from RNAcentral.
CAGUCGCCACGGGAAUACGGAGGGUGCAAGCGUUAAUCGGAAUUACUGGGCGUAAAGCGCACGCAGGCGGUCUGUCAAGUCAGAUGUGAAAUCCCCGGGCUUAACCUGGGAACUGCAUUUGAAACUGGCAGGCUAGAGUCUUGUAGAGGGGGGUAGAAUUCCAGGUGUAGCGGUGAAAUGCGUAGAGAUCUGGAGGAAUACCGGUGGCGAAGGCGGCCCCCUGGACAAAGACUGACGCUCAGGUGCGAAAGCGUGGGGAGCAAACAGGAUUAGAUACCCCAGUAGUCCCUGUCUCUUAUAC